Molecule: ribosomal RNA, 467 nt
Filed under: uncultured bacterium
Lineage: Bacteria
Description: bacterial SSU rRNA
Rfam family: Bacterial small subunit ribosomal RNA
Source: RNAcentral
UAGGGAAUAUUGGACAAUGGGUGAGAGCCUGAUCCAGCCAUGCCGCGUGCAGGAAGAAGGCGUUAUGCGUUGUAAACUGCUUUUUGCCAGGGGAUAAAAAGACCGUGCGCGGUUAAUUGAAGGUACCUGGUGAAUAAGCCACGGCUAACUACGUGCCAGCAGCCGCGGUAAUACGUAGGGACCAAGCGUUGUUCGGAUUUACUGGGCGUAAAGGGCGCGUAGGCGGCAAUUCAAGUCAUCUGUGAAAUCUCCGGGCUUAACUCGGAACGGUCAGAUGAUACUGCUUUGCUAGAGUGCAGAAGGGGCAAUCGGAAUUCUUGGUGUAGCGGUGAAAUGCGUAGAUAUCAAGAGGAACACCUGAGGUGAAGACGGGUUGCUGGGCUGACACUGACGCUGAGGCGCGAAAGCGUGGGGAGCAAACAGGAUUAGAUACCCAAGUAGUCCCUGAGCGGGCUGGCAAGGCGCAU